Molecule: ribosomal RNA, 506 nt
Filed under: Glomus sp. MO-G1
Lineage: Eukaryota; Fungi; Glomeromycota; Glomeromycetes; Glomerales; Glomeraceae
Description: SSU rRNA
Rfam family: Eukaryotic small subunit ribosomal RNA
Source: RNAcentral
AGCAGCCGCGGUAAUUCCAGCUCCAAUAGCGUAUAUUAAAGUUGUUGCAGUUAAAAAGCUCGUAGUUGAAUUUCGGGAUCAAGUCGUCGGUCGUGCUCAGGUACGUACUGGCGUCAUUGAUUUCUCCCUUCUGACGAACCAUGAUGUCAUUAAUUUGGUGUUAUGGGAAAUCAGGACUGUUACUUUGAAAAAAUUAGAGUGUUUAAAGCAGGCUCACGCUUGAACACAUUAGCAUGGAAUAAUGAAAUAGGACGUUCGAUCCUAUUUUGUUGGUUUUAGGAUCAACGUAAUGAUUAAUAGGGAUAGUUGGGGGCAUUAGUAUUCAAUUGUCAGAGGUGAAAUUCUUGGAUUUAUUGAAGACUAACUACUGCGAAAGCAUUUGCCAAGGAUGUUUUCAUUAAUCAAGAACGAAAGUUAGGGGAUCGAAGACGAUCAGAUACCGUCGUAGUCUUAACCAUAAACUAUGCCGACUAGGGAUCGGAUGAUGUUAAUUUUUUAAUGACUCA